Molecule: long non-coding RNA, 1875 nt
Organism: Eleginops maclovinus (Patagonian blennie)
Lineage: Eukaryota; Metazoa; Chordata; Actinopteri; Perciformes; Eleginopidae
Exons: 4
Source: RefSeq, a predicted model, not a curated record
GCUCAAUUGGAGGUUGUUCUGUGCUACUCUGGAGUCUGAGACCCACCCUGGCCAACAUGAAGAGACACCAGGUCGAUUGUGUUCAAGAUCUCGGCCCAUUUUGUCAUAUUGGGCUGUACCUGGAUUCUGGGCCUGUACCAGUCAAACCUUUUCUUCCGGAUCCUCCUCACAAUUUUUAACUCCCAGCAGGGCAUCUUUCUCUUCGUCGUCCUGUGUGUGCUCAACAAGGAGGUGCGAGAGGAGUACAUGAGAUGGCUGACAUGCUCUUUUGGAAAGAACAGAGCUAGAGAUGCACCUUCAAUCUCUGAGGAUUUGGACAAGGAUGAGGGUAAAAAAGGAUGAAUCCUGAUGAUAUAAAAAGGAGAACAGAGGCAAAAAUCAUCUGUAUGAAGUUAUGAUUCACCUUUUUAUAAACUGUAGUUUAAUAAAUGCAAAAAGAAGUAAAUGUCUACAUAUUAAAUAUAUCCUCAUCCUAUGCUAGCCAGACUGAAUGUGACUCUUUCACACUUUUGCUAAAUAUCUUUUAAUUUAUGUAGCUUAUUCAAUUCAGUUUGACAAUCCUACGCAACAUAUUUUAAAAACAUACAAUAUACCCAGUACAUUAACACAACAUAUUAAAAUAAUGCACACCAGGGCUUUAAGAAAUACAUUUUUACAAUCAGGGCUGUAUAUAAGAAGUCUUUAUGGUGUUAUUGACUACAGAGAAGGCUCACCAUCGCUCCUCCUUAUUCAUUUGCUUGUGUGGGAGCUUCCAUAAACACACCAUGAGUCAGACACAGACUAAAAAAACAAACUUUCUUUAAAGCAAAAACAUUCAUGUCUUAGUUGUUUCUUCUCUUUCCAUUUGUAUUCUAUUUACAUGAGAGCUAGGACACUUCGAGGCGUGUCAAACUUUACAAGACAAAUUUUAAGGGACAGCCAAACAGAUUCUAUUUGAUUUACAAUGUUUGACGUUAAAGUCUCUUUACCUCAUACAUGAAUAAAAAAAAUAGCAUACAGUGGUCACAGAAGCAUAAUUACAUUAACAUUGCCCAGUAACAUAAGAAAACACCCAGGAAUGCAAUCACAUAGUUGAAACAUGUGUACUGUAGUACUAUACAGUGCCUGUAUACCAAUCAGGUCUCUAUAAGACAUGCAUUCAAUGAAAUACACAACAAAAAAUACAAAUGUUUGUUGGAUUUCACACAAUUUAAUAAAGCUAUUGCAGUUUUAUCCUACUGGUAAUGUUGCUCUGUGGAACAGCUCUUGUUAAAAAGGCCCUAUCAUGCUGUUUGGGGUUUUCCCUUUCCUGAUGUUUGUGUUUAUAUAGGUUUUUGUGCAUGUAAAUGGUCUACAAAGGCUAAAAUUCAAAUGUCCCCCCCUUAGGGAGUUUCUCUCCCACAUACUCAUCCCCUCUGCCAAAAAUGCCUCUAUUAGAUUCAAUUAUUUUAGUUCUGUUACACAGGGACAUCACUAUGUGGUUGACCAGUGUAACAGAGGUAGCCAGCUAACCAAUCAGAGCAGACAGGGCUCUGGUUUCAGACCGAGGGGGAAAAGAGGUGCUGCAGCACAGACAGUAUGAGAAACAUAAAGACCUUUUUGAACAUUAAAGACUGUAAAUAUCUCACAGUAGAGGAUCAAAAUACAAAUAUGAACCUGAAAAUGAACAUAUGUCCUCUUUAAUACCUGCAUUUCUGUAUGUUGUGCUGUUUCUCACAUAAAUCAUGUAAUUUUAAUGUUAUAAAUCAUUGCUUAUGAUACUGUUCGAAAUAGAAACCAGCAAAUCAAACAUAUUAAAUGGAAUGCCAUUCGUGAAAUAACUAUAGAUGAUUGUGGCAAAUGGGGAUUUAAUGAAUGUAAAAAAACAUGUAUAUCAUUAAAGCGUUUAUCAAAGAC